GGAUCUGUGGCACAAUGGUAGCGCGUCUGGCUCCAAAUCAGAAGGUCGCGUGUUCGACUCACGUCAAGUUCA
Non-coding RNA from Papaver somniferum (opium poppy), 72 nucleotides. Lineage: Eukaryota; Viridiplantae; Streptophyta; Magnoliopsida; Ranunculales; Papaveraceae. The record is from the annotation of a RefSeq genome assembly.